ACGGGUGAGUAACACGUGGGCAACCUGCCUUAUAGAGAGGAAUAGCCAUUCGAAAGGAUGAUUAAUACCUCAUAAUAUUGUAGUUUCGCAUGAAGCAACAAUCAAAGGAGCAAUUCACUAUAAGAUGGGCCCGCGGCGCAUUAGCUAGUUGGUGAGGUAACGGCUCACCAAGGCGACGAUGCGUAGCCGACCUGAGAGGGUGAUCGGCCACAUUGGGACUGAGACACGGCCCAGACUCCUACGGGAGGCAGCAGUGGGGAAUAUUGCACAAUGGGGGAAACCCUGAUGCAGCAACGCCGCGUGAGUGAUGACGGCCUUCGGGUUGUAAAGCUCUGUCUUCAGGGACGAUAAUGACGGUACCUGAGGAGGAAGCCACGGCUAACUACGUGCCAGCAGCCGCGGUAAUACGUAGGUGGCAAGCGUUGUCCGGAUUUACUGGGCGUAAAGGGAGCGUAGGCGGACUUUUAAGUGGGAUGUGAAGUACCCGGGCUUAACCUGGGUGCUGCAUUCCAAACUGGGAGUCUAGAGUGCAGGAGGGGAAAGUGGAAUUCCUAGU
RNAcentral lists this ribosomal RNA (556 nucleotides) under uncultured bacterium. RNAcentral's name for it is "bacterial SSU rRNA". It matches the Rfam family "Bacterial small subunit ribosomal RNA", at positions 102 to 674 of the family's 1533-position model. The record is from RNAcentral.